UAGCUAGUUGGUGGGGUAAGGGCCUACCAAGGCGACGAUCGGUAGCUGGUCUGAGAGGAUGACCAGCCACACUGGAACUGAGACACGGUCCAGACUCCUACGGGAGGCAGCAGUGGGGAAUAUUGGACAAUGGGGGCAACCCUGAUCCAGCAAUGCCGCGUGUGUGAAGAAGGCCUGAGGGUUGUAAAGCACUUUCAGUGGGGAGGAGGGUUGAUAGGUUAAGAGCUGAUUAACUGGACGUUACCCACAGAAGAAGCACCGGCUAACUCCGUGCCAGCAGCCGCGGUAAUACGGAGGGUGCGAGCGUUAAUCGGAAUUACUGGGCGUAAAGGGUGCGUAGGUGGUUGAUUAAGUUAUCUGUGAAAUUCCUGGGCUUAACCUGGGACGGUCAGAUAAUACUGGUUGACUCGAGUAUGGGAGAGGGUAGUGGAGUUUCCGGUGUAGCGGUGAAAUGCGUAGAGAGCGGAAGGAACACCAGUGGCGAAGGCGGCUACCUGGCCUAAUACUGACACUGAGGCACGAAAGCGUGGGGAGCAAACAGGAUUAGAUACCCUGGUAGUCCACGCUGUAAACGAUGUCAACUAGCUGUUGGUUAUAUGAAAAUAAUUAGUGGCGC
RNAcentral lists this ribosomal RNA (616 nucleotides) under uncultured Legionella sp. Its description in RNAcentral is "bacterial SSU rRNA". It matches the Rfam family "Bacterial small subunit ribosomal RNA", at positions 242 to 849 of the family's 1533-position model. The record is from RNAcentral. Lineage: Bacteria; Pseudomonadati; Pseudomonadota; Gammaproteobacteria; Legionellales; Legionellaceae.